AAGGUUGGCUAAUCCUGGUCGGACAUCAGGAGGUUAGUGCAAUGGCAUAAGCCAGCUUGACUGCGAGCGUGACGGCGCGAGCAGGUGCGAAAGCAGGUCAUAGUGAUCCGGUGGUUCUGAAUGGAAGGGCCAUCGCUCAACGGAUAAAAGGUACUCCGGGGAUAACAGGCUGAUACCGCCCAAGAGUUCAUAUCGACGGCGGUGUUUGGCACCUCGAUGUCGGCUCAUCACAUCCUGGGGCUGAAGUAGGUCCCAAGGGUAUGGCUGUUCGCCAUUUAAAGUGGUACGCGAGCUGGGUUUAGAACGUCGUGAGACAG
Molecule: ribosomal RNA, 317 nt
Filed under: Escherichia coli
Lineage: Bacteria; Pseudomonadati; Pseudomonadota; Gammaproteobacteria; Enterobacterales; Enterobacteriaceae
Description: partial 23S ribosomal RNA
Rfam family: Bacterial large subunit ribosomal RNA
Source: RNAcentral